RNAcentral lists this ribosomal RNA (328 nucleotides) under Sulfitobacter sp. Its description in RNAcentral is "bacterial SSU rRNA". It matches the Rfam family "Bacterial small subunit ribosomal RNA", at positions 61 to 418 of the family's 1533-position model. Lineage: Bacteria; Pseudomonadati; Pseudomonadota; Alphaproteobacteria; Rhodobacterales; Roseobacteraceae. The record is from RNAcentral.
GUCGAGCGCACCUUCGGGUGAGCGGCGGACGGGUUAGUAACGCGUGGGAACAUACCCUUUUCUACGGAAUAGCCUCGGGAAACUGAGAGUAAUACCGUAUAAGCCCUUCGGGGGAAAGAUUUAUCGGGAAAGGAUUGGCCCGCGUUAGAUUAGAUAGUUGGUGGGGUAAUGGCCUACCAAGUCUACGAUCUAUAGCUGGUUUUAGAGGAUGAUCAGCAACACUGGGACUGAGACACGGGCCCAGACUCCUACGGGAGGCAGCAGUGGGGAAUCUUAGACAAUGGGCGCAAGCCUGAUCUACCCAUGCCGCGUGUGUGAUGAAGGUCUU